UCUCACUGAAGACAUCCUUGAGGAAGACCAUGUCCUCUUUGUGAUUGGCAUCUGGACGCAGCUGUGAGGUCAGCAGGGCAAGCGUCUCAUGCAACCCUACAACGUACCUGCUCCUGCAGAGAGGACUGGCAUGGCUUCUUUCAUCGAUCAGGAAGGGGUUGACCUAAAAAAGAGGUGUUCUCCAAACUCAUCAGGCAUUACAGAAGAAGACUCAGAGCUGUUAUCUUGGGAAAAGGACGUUGCAAUAUUUGGGUGCCAAUAAUUGUGGCCAACGUGAACUAGAGAAAAACAUUUAUUUCAUAAAGAGAUUUCCCCCCACUUUCCAUUGUUUUACUUCAAUGAUAGGUAAGAAUUGUGUGAUUUUUUUUAAUGAAAAAUAAAAAAGGAUAAACAAUAUUGACUUGUUUUCAAAGCCCCCCUUGAUCAUAUUUUAACAAGGGUGUCAAUAAUGCUGGAGUUGACUGUAGAUAAACAUAAAAAUGUAAAGAUAAAUGUAAAAAGGACAGAAGAGCACAUGCAAAAACAAACAAAAGACAUGUUCUCCAACAGAAAUGUUUACGAUGCAUGGAUGUCAGAAUCCAGACACCAAAUAUCGAAAUUGAACUAGACCGGAGUGUGAGGAUCCAGACACCAUGCCCUGAACACUCAAAACAUAAAAACAUAACAGGGAUGUCACAAUCUCAUCACCGCUGACCAGAAACAAACUCACAAAGGUGAUAGGACCAUGACACCAAUGGCUCGUUUUUUUAUAAUAACCAAAUCAUGUGUUAUUUUUUUCUUUGUUUUAUCUUUAAUCUACAAAAUCAUUUAUGUAUUUUCAAUGUAUGAUUCAUCUACCAUCUAUCUCUCUUGCUGGUUUCUUCAAGGCUCUAGUAAUCUGUUUAAAUACCUGUAGUGGAUCGGUACAUCAAUAUUCCAUCACUUUUAAGCUUGAAACUUCAUAUAGUUCUACUGAGUGUGCAUUGCCUUGAUAAGAUUAAUGGAUAUUCAGCCAUGAUAAAGUGCUAGAAUAGAGGAGAGAGCGUGACUGGAAGAGAUGAGUGAUGCUCUUCUGUGGGUGCUGAGAGGCCACAGCAUGAACACAAAGCUCAGAGUGCUGUCACAACUUCCUCUUUUGCACUCUUUCUCCCUCACAAACACUCUCCCAAAGAAAUUCAGACGUGCCAUACUUUCACAGUGCCCAGUGAAACAGAAAUAGCAUUUCCACAAGCACUGAUCCAUCUAGAAAAGAGACGAGAGACAAAAAAUAGAAACUCUACUGCAGUUUUUCUUCCUCGUAACACUCAGCGUAAGCAGUGUUGUAACAUGGGGUGAGAUUUAUCAGUUGAACCAGUUAGAAAUGAGCUACAGUGAAGCUUACCUGCUGACAGUCUAGAAUGAAUGCUGAUGCAGAUGGACAUGUCAAGACUGAGCAAUGUGCUCAUUGUGAACACACUCAUACUUAUUUAGCUGGCUAAAAGCAAACCAAGCCACCAAUCCUGCAUCACCCUUGUGAAAAUAAUUAGAUGGAAAUCUGUGACUGUUCCAUGUAGUGACACAAUAUAACAUCGUAUGCACUUCCUGGUGUGUCUGUUGGGGAAAAAACAACAACAACAAACAACUGCAUCCAACAAGCUAUAUGAUUGCAGAGUAUACAUAAGGAUAUGGCAAAUCACAGAUGUACUGUAUUUAUGUAUAUAUAAAUAGGGGCUGAUAAGAUAGCUGCAGGCACAUAUAAUACUAUAAAACUGCAUUCAAUUCUCAGCAAUAUCAGAACAGUGACUGUGAGAUAUAAACUAAUAAUCCAGUCAUGACUACCACAGACAGGAAUCCACAAUCACUUUUGCUCUGAAGGAUGAUGUCAUUCCCACUUUAUGCUGUUCUGGUAAUGAUAUAAUUGGCAAAAGCUUUGUGGAAGCAAUACACAGGGGAAUGAGAUGUGUUUUUAAAGGUGUGUGUGUGUGUGUGUGUGUAGCUAGUAUUGAGAGGAAAAAAAGGGUUUUAUUGUUAGAGACUUUAUAAAUAUAUAGUAUAUCAUCAAAGGAAUACCAGUUUAAUGUGUUUUUACUGAAUAAAAGUAUUUAUUUUCAUAUAAAUGGUACUGUAUAGUUAAGCAUUGCUAUAUAACUGUAAUACAGCACUUACUGUAUUUUAUCAAAAAUAAUGUCUGGUUAAGUAUAAGUGUAAUGUUUGUGUUGUAUGGCUUGUUCACCUAAAAAGAUAAAUAUGAGUUUUGGCAUAAAUGCACGAACACGUCAUCAUCAUGUGUGCUAUUUCUGUCCAGAACAGCUUAGAGCCCUUUUCGUUUUUUGGCUUGGAUAUAAGAAAGGCACAAACAGACACACACACGCACACAAACUCUCAAAGACCUCUCUGCAACCUUAUUGGCUUUGAAAGUCUGUUUAGGUCACACAGAUAGUACAUCUGUUUGGCCUUCCUAAUUCUCGCAGAUGCGUGCUGAAUUUCAGACCGUCAAAUCCAGUAUGGUUGUUAAAAACUUUAAGGAUGUAUAAAACACAUUUAAUGUAAUUAAGUGAAUGUUGCUUUUCAUUAACAUUUUGUAAUUUUCUCAAUGUAAAAUACAUUACCCAUUCCCUGUUUUAUACUGUACGUUAAUUUCCCUGAAAAGUGAAUUUUGUUAAAGUUCAGGAAAACACUAGCAUGAACUAACACACACGUGACAUAAAAUACAAUUUAAUUUCAUUGAUGGUGCCUGGUGACUGAUGGGAAGGUUAUUACAAAU
Long non-coding RNA from Ctenopharyngodon idella (grass carp), 2722 nucleotides. RefSeq lists it as uncharacterized. The record is from RefSeq and is a predicted model, not a curated record. The transcript is spliced from 3 exons. NCBI's taxonomy places the organism in Eukaryota, Metazoa, Chordata, Actinopteri, Cypriniformes, Xenocyprididae.